GAUGAACGUUGGCGGCGUGCCUAAUACAUGCAAGUCGAACGAAGACUGUAGUAAUACUGUCUUAGUGGCGAACGGGUGAGUAACGCGUGGGUGACCUGCCCCGAAGUGUGGGAUAACAGUCCGAAAGGAUUGCUAAUACUGCAUAAUAUCCAAGAGAUUAGAUGCUUUUGGAUUAAAGGAGUAAUUCGCUUCGGGAGGGGCCCGCGUCCCAUCAGCUAGUUGGUAAGGUAAUGGCUUACCAAGGCGAUGACGGGUAGGGGACCUGAGAGGGUGGCCCCCCACAAUGGAACUGAAACACGGUCCAUACACCUACGGGUGGCAGCAGUAGGGAAUAUUAGUAAUGGGCGAAAGCCUGAACUAGCAACGCCGCGUGUGCGAAGAAGGCCUUCGGGUCGUAAAGCACUUUUUGAGAGGAUGAGGAAGGACGGUACUCUCAGAAAUAAGUCCGUCGGUACUAACUAACGUCGCCAGCACGCCGACGGUAAACACUACUAUG
This 496-nucleotide ribosomal RNA is filed under the name uncultured bacterium. RNAcentral's name for it is "bacterial SSU rRNA". It matches the Rfam family "Bacterial small subunit ribosomal RNA", at positions 35 to 539 of the family's 1533-position model. The record is from RNAcentral.